GUUAUAUGGUCAAGCGAAUAAGCGCACACGGUGGAUGCCUUGGCGGUCAGAGGCGAUGAAGGACGUGGCAGCCUGCGAAAAGUAUCGGGGAGCUGGCAACAAGCUUUGAUCCGGUAAUGUCCGAAUGGGGAAACCCACCCGCUUGCGGGUAUCCUGCAGUGAAUACAUAGCUGCUGGAAGCGAACCUGGUGAACUGAAAUAUCUAAGUAACCAGAGGAAAAGAAAUCAACCGAGAUUCCGUAAGUAGCGACGAGCGAACGCGGACUAGCCCUUAAGCUGAUUUGGUUCUAGGAAAACGCUCUGGAAAGAGCGGCCAUAGAAGGUGAUAGCCCUGUAUCUGAAAGGGCCAUUUCAGUGAAGACGAGUAGGGCGGGGCACGUGAAACCCUGUCUGAACAUGGGGGGACCAUCCUCCAAGGCUAAAUACUACUGACCGACCGAUAGUGAACCAGUACCGUGAGGGAAAGGCGAAAAGAACCCCGGAGAGGGGAGUGAAAUAGAACCUGAAACCGUGUGCGUACAAGCAGUAGGAGCUCCGCAAGGAGUGACUGCGUACCUUUUGUAUAAUGGGUCAGCGACUUACUGUUCGUGGCAAGCUUAACCGUAUAGGGGAGGCGAAGGGAAACCGAGUCUGAUAAGGGCGCAUAGUCGCGGGCAGUAGACCCGAAACCGGGUGAUCUAGUCAUGCCCAGGGUGAAGGUGCGGUAACACGCACUGGAGGCCCGAACCCACUCCCGUUGCAAAGGUAGGGGAUGAGGUGUGAUUAGGAGUGAAAAGCUAAUCGAACCCGGAGAUAGCUGGUUCUCCUCGAAAGCUAUUUAGGUAGCGCCUCAUAUGUAUCCUCUCGGGGGUAGAGCACUGUUAUGGCUAGGGGGUCAUCGCGACUUACCAAACCAUUGCAAACUCCGAAUACCGAGACGGACUGUAUGGGAGACACACGGCGGGUGCUAACGUCCGUCGUGAAAAGGGAAACAACCCAGACCCACAGCUAAGGUCCCAAAUUUUGUGCUAAGUGGAAAACCAUGUGGAAAGGCACAGACAGCCAGGAGGUUGGCUUAGAAGCAGCCACCCUUUAAAGAAAGCGUAAUAGCUCACUGGUCGAGUCGGUCUGCGGGGAAGAUUUAACGGGGCUAAGCACAGAACCGAAGCUUGGGGUGCAUAACUUUGUUAUGCGCGGUAGAGGAGCGUUCCGUAAGCCGUUGAAGGUGGAUUGAGAAGUCUGCUGGAGGUAUCGGAAGUGCGAAUGCUGACAUGAGUAACGAUAAUGCGGGUGAAAAACCCGCACGCCGAAAGCCCAAGGUUUCCUUGCGCAACGUUAAUCGGCGCAGGGUGAGUCGGCCCCUAAGGCGAGGACGAAAGUCGUAGUCGAUGGGAAGCAGGUUAAUAUUCCUGCACCUCGCGUAAGUGCGAUGGAGGGACGGAGAAGGUUAGGUGUACCAGGCGUUGGUUGUCCUGGGGAAAGGCGGUAGGUUUGGAUCUUUGGCAAAUCCGGGAUCCUUUAAGACCGAGCACCGAGACGAGCCUUUAAGGCGAAGUCACUGAUACCACGCUUCCAGGAAAAGCUCCUAAGCUUCAGCUUACGCAGACCGUACCGUAAACCGACACAGGUGGGUAGGAUGAGAAUUCUCAGGCGCUUGAGAGAACUCGGGUGAAGGAACUAGGCAACAUGGCACCGUAACUUCGGGAGAAGGUGCACCCUUUUUGGUGGCUCGUGCGAGCUAUAGCUGAAGAGGGUCGCAGUAACCAGGCCGCUGCGACUGUUUAUCAAAAACACAGCACUCUGCAAACACGAAAGUGGACGUAUAGGGUGUGACGCCUGCCCGGUGCUGGAAGGUUAAUUGAUGGGGUCAGCCGCAAGGCGAAGCUCUUGAUCGAAGCCCCAGUAAACGGCGGCCGUAACUAUAACGGUCCUAAGGUAGCGAAAUUCCUUGUCGGGUAAGUUCCGACCUGCACGAAUGGCGUAACGACAGCGGCGCUGUCUCCACCCGAGACUCAGUGAAAUUGAAAUCGCUGUGAAGAUGCAGCGUUCCCGUGGCAAGACGGAAAGACCCCGUGAACCUUUACUAUAGCUUUACACUGAACGUUGAGUUCGUCUGUGUAGGAUAGGUGGGAGGCUAUGAAACCAUGGCGCUAGCUGUGGCGGAGCCAUCCUUGAAAUACCACCCUGUCGUGCUUGACGUUCUAACCUAGGCCCAUUAUCUGGGUCGGGGACCGUGUAUGGUGGGUAGUUUGACUGGGGCGGUCUCCUCCUAAAGAGUAACGGAGGAGCUCGAAGGUACGCUCAGCGCGGUCGGACAUCGCGCACUGUGUGCAAAGGCAUAAGCGUGCUUGACUGCAAGAUCGACGGAUCAAGCAGGUAGGAAACUAGGACUUAGUGAUCCGGUGGUUCUGUAUGGAAGGGCCAUCGCUCAACGGAUAAAAGGUACUCCGGGGAUAACAGGCUGAUACCGCCCAAGAGUUCAUAUCGACGGCGGUGUUUGGCACCUCGAUGUCGGCUCAUCACAUCCUGGGGCUGUAGUCGGUCCCAAGGGUAUGGCUGUUCGCCAUUUAAAGUGGUACGCGAGCUGGGUUCAGAACGUCGUGAGACAGUUCGGUCCCUAUCUGCCAUGGGCGUUGGAGAUUUGAGAGGGGCUGCUCCUAGUACGAGAGGACCGGAGUGGACGAACCUCUGGUGUUCCGGUUGUCACGCCAGUGGCAUUGCCGGGUAGCUAUGUUCGGAAGCGAUAACCGCUGAAAGCAUCUAAGCGGGAAGCGCGCCUCAAGAUGAGAUCUCCCGGGGCACAAGCCCCCUGAAGGAACCAUGUAGACUACGUGGUUGAUAGGUCAGGUGUGUAAGUACAGCAAUGUAUUGAGCUAACUGAUACUAAUGAUCCGUGCGGCUUGACCAUAUAACCU
RNAcentral lists this ribosomal RNA (2894 nucleotides) under Stenotrophomonas pavanii. RNAcentral describes it as "23S ribosomal RNA". It matches the Rfam family "Bacterial large subunit ribosomal RNA". Lineage: Bacteria; Pseudomonadati; Pseudomonadota; Gammaproteobacteria; Lysobacterales; Lysobacteraceae. The record is from RNAcentral.